RNAcentral lists this ribosomal RNA (301 nucleotides) under uncultured bacterium. Its description in RNAcentral is "partial 16S ribosomal RNA". It matches the Rfam family "Bacterial small subunit ribosomal RNA", at positions 509 to 809 of the family's 1533-position model. The record is from RNAcentral.
CAGUCGCCACGGUAACACGAGGGGGGCAAGCGUUGUUCGGAAUUAUUGGGCGUAAAGGGCGCGUAGGCGGUUUGGCAAGUUUGGUGUGAAAUCUUCGGGCUCAACUCGAAGUCUGCACCGAAAACUGCCGGGCUUGAGUAUGGGAGAGGUGAGUGGAAUUUCCGGUGUAGCGGUGAAAUGCGUAGAUAUCGGAAGGAACACCUGUGGCGAAAGCGGCUCACUGGACCAUUACUGACGCUGAGGCGCGAAAGCUAGGGGAGCAAACAGGAUCAGACCCCUGUAGUCCCUGUCUCUUAUACAC